Clupea harengus (Atlantic herring) is the source of this 3434-nucleotide RNA transcript. It is a transcript of the gene named NXPE family member 3-like, with no coding region annotated. The transcript has 7 exons. Lineage: Eukaryota; Metazoa; Chordata; Actinopteri; Clupeiformes; Clupeidae. The record is from RefSeq and is a predicted model, not a curated record.
AAUGUAUGCUAUGUGCUGACAGGAAAUAACAUGUAAAUAUACCAUGAAGACAUGACAUGCAGUAUUUAAGGUAGGAAUAAUACUGAGUUACUCUUGUGCUCUACACAUCAUAAUCAGCCAGGCUAGCAGUCAUUUAGCCCCUUCCGAUGAUAUUCAAGGUCGGCACCUAAAGAAGAAGUAACAAGGAGAAAAUGUAUUCUCUUCCACACCAGACAGGGAUCAUAGCUGUUCUACAUUUGAGGGAUUUUGAGCCACUGUGAAACUUACAUGAAGCUGUCACACGUCACUGUCCACCUUGUGCUAGAGCAGUACCCAGUUUCUAUGUCCACUCCACUCGAGGGACAGGAAAAUUAAACAGUCAUUCUGGUGAUUCGUGUAACGAAUGCAUUUAUUGCGUUACUUACUGAGCAAUUUACUUAUAUAUAGUAUAUAGUAUAUUUAUUUAUGUCCAUCAUGACAUGAUGGCCCUGGAAUGUAAAAGUAAAAAGGGGAGGGAUCUUGUGUGACGUCACUAGCUGCGGUUGUGCGUUAAUCGGCUGCAUGUGUGCAGUGCAUAGUGCGACUCGGGCAGCUCAGCUGGGCUUCUUUCUAACAUGGAGAGACAAAGGCGACUUAUCUGAACUCGGUCCUCCAAUCGUCUUUAUACCGUCCUCCGGGUGGGGAGCUACAGAAAUCAGUACAGACGUCUACGUUUACCAGAACACCUCUUUGCAAGACCAUGACAACAGACUCCUGCUGUUGACAGAAGUGUGGGAGGCUUCACCAUGUCCUGGAGUCUGCAUCAUUAGAACAGGAUGUGAUGUCGCGAGGGAGGAUGGCAGAGUAUGGACACAGCCAUGGGGGGAAACCUGUCCAAAUAUGCCCCCAUCUUCCUCGUCCUUGCACUGUCAGGAGUCCUCUUCCUCUUGCGGAACAUUCACACUCUGGAGAGAUGGAACUGCCAGUCGGUGUCCUCUCUCUACCAGCUCCAGAGCAGCAUCAGUUCCGUCUUCAAGCCCUCUGGACCCUUCCUGCCUCUGGACCAGAAUCACAGCUACUGUCCCAACCUGGGCCAGGAGGCGUCCGGAGAGGAGGCCCAUGAGGAGCGCUACCUCCUGGAGUCCAUUUCCUGGCCUGAGCCCCCCGCGCUGGGGGUGCCGGUCCGCCAGAGCAGCGACCCGGCUCACAGUUAUUUUGUGAUACAGCCGCCCACCGACAUCUCGGGCCGAGCCACGUGGCGGGUGGGCGGCAAGCUGGAAGUGCUGGUCCACAUGCAGAACUUCCUGGGCCAGCCCAAGAGGUAUGGCGGGGACUUCCUGCUGGCCCGGAUCCGUUCCCCAGAGAUUGGCGCCGGUGCAUCGGGCUGGGUCGUGGACCGGCAGGAUGGCCUGUACGCAGUGGAGCUCCCACUGCUGUGGGCGGGGGCCGCGCAGGUGGAGGUGACGCUGGUGCACUCAAGCGAGGCGGUGGCCAUGCUACGGCGCUUGAGGGAAGAGCGGCCGGAUCGUGUCUUCUUCAAGAGCCUCUUCCGUUCCGGCUUCCUGUCCGAAACCACCAUCUGCAACCUGUGCCUGCCCACCGGACCCCGUCAGCCAGCGCUGUGCAACUACACAGAUCCACACACAGGUGAGCCCUGGUACUGCUACAAACCUAGGAUGCUGGACUGCGACACGCGCAUCAACCAUGCCAAAGGGGGCUACAAGAAGCACCUGCUCACCACCACAGAGUCAAUGCUGUUCUUGAGCUCUACCAUCAAAGCGCCGGUCCAAGCCCUCGGGAUGGACAACAUAACUAUUUUGCCCGCAGUGAAAGAGCUGUCUUUGGUUCGCAGAGACCGGGCAAAGUUCCUGCCGUCUGGGUAUUACUACCAGGGUUCUUGGAGACCUUUAGCUGGAAUCCCAAUACAACAGUUCAAUGACUCCUCCGCCAUUACCCAGUGUCUUCAAGGGAAACUGUUUUACAUGUAUGGAGACUCUACUGUUCGACAGUGGUUUGAGUACCUCAACGCCUUUGUUCCAGAACUGAAGGAGUUCAACCUCCACAGCCCAAAGAACGUGGGGCCCUUUAUGGCUGUAGACAGCGUCCAUAACAUCCUGCUGAAGUACCGCUGCCACGGCCCGCCCAUCCGCUUCUCCACAGUCUCCUCCAGCGAGCUACGCUACGUAGCUAACGAGCUUGACGGCCUGCCAGGCGGCCAUGACACCAUUGUGGCUCUGAGCAUCUGGUCGCACUUCAGCACAUUCCCCGUAGAGGUGUACCUGCGGCGACUGCGCCAUAUCCGCCGCGCCUUAGCCCGCCUUCUGGACCGGGCGCCAGGCACGCUGGUGGUGGUGCGCACGGCUAAUCCGCAGAAGCUGGACCCAGAGGUCAGCCUGUACAACAGCGACUGGUUCUCCGUGCAGCUGGACUCUGUACUGAGGGCCAUGUUCCGCAGCCUGCGGGGGGUGGUGCUGCUGGACGCGUGGGACAUGACUCUGGCGCACCCCACCCAUCCCCACCUUCUGCACCCUCCCCCAGACAUUGUGAAGAACAUGAUCGAUCUCAUCCUGUCCCACAUUUGUCCAGCCAAACAGGAGAAGAAGAAGAGCUAGCCAGUAUAGGGAGGGCUGGGGGGUAGAGGACAGACGUAGAGUAAGGAGUUGAAGUAGUGACAUUUUGGCAUGAGAAUACUACAGAGCCCUUAAAAUCAUAAAAGGUCAUAGUUUUUUAAAUCUUGCGGAAACAAGUUACUUAUCAAGAUGCUUACCUUGUUCCCACAAAUUAUAAUUAUCUUGUCCGCACAAGAUAAUUCUGUAAUACGCACAAGAUAAAAAAUAUCACCUUGCAGGACUUUAGGCGCUCCGUAGAAUACACAUCUUGAUACAGGUUGCUGAGAUUUUGGUGCCAAGAUUUUACAGGUUUUCCUUGAGUUUUCAUUUCCACCCAGCUGGAGAAGAGCGCUGCUCCACUCCCCUGUCCUGAACCAUCAGCCCAACUGUGAGCCCUGGGAUGCAAUAGAUCAGUGGUUCCCAAACUUUUUACAGUCCCGUACCCCUUCAGGCAUUCAAUCUCCAUCUACGUACCCCCCCGUUUUUUUUUCAUGUUUGUAACCGCUGCCCCACCUCCUCCCCCGGCGCACAUAUAGGCCUACAGCCUAUAACACUUGAAACUGUGAAAUUGUCAGGGAUUUCAGGACUCGGAUGGAAGUUUAGAUCAAACAGAGUUGUAUUAGCAAUACAACCAGGUAAAGGGAAAUGAGAAACAAACAAGGAGGUCGAACUAACUCACUCAGGGGUUUAACGGGAAGAACUAUUUAACUCAAACAAGGCAAAACAGAUGAAAACCAAGGUACUCAGCGUCAAACGCCGGAAGAACACAAACUAGCAAUGUUUAACUAAGAACAUAACUUAACAGUGUGCAGAAGUGUGUGCGUUGAAUUUGAAAAGGGGGGCGUGGCCAGAGCGGAGUUCAGCCAG